GCUGGCAACUGAUCAGAUAUUCUACACUCAACGGAAACUUCCAUGUGUGUACUAAUAAUCUCUGCUUAAUAUCUGAUGCCUUU
Molecule: non-coding RNA, 83 nt
Organism: Triticum aestivum (bread wheat)
Lineage: Eukaryota; Viridiplantae; Streptophyta; Magnoliopsida; Poales; Poaceae
Source: Rfam